GCGGAUGUAGCUCAGUUGGUAGAGCACAGGCUUCCCAAGCCUGUGGCCGCGGGUUCAAAUCCCGUCGUCCGCU
This 73-nucleotide transfer RNA is filed under the name bacterium. Its description in RNAcentral is "tRNA-Gly". It matches the Rfam family "tRNA". Rfam says of the family: Transfer RNA (tRNA) molecules are approximately 80 nucleotides in length. Their secondary structure includes four short double-helical elements and three loops (D, anti-codon, and T loops). The record is from RNAcentral. RNAcentral also lists the same sequence under 1 other name.